This 445-nucleotide ribosomal RNA is filed under the name uncultured Brevundimonas sp. RNAcentral's name for it is "bacterial SSU rRNA". It matches the Rfam family "Bacterial small subunit ribosomal RNA", at positions 8 to 498 of the family's 1533-position model. Lineage: Bacteria; Pseudomonadati; Pseudomonadota; Alphaproteobacteria; Caulobacterales; Caulobacteraceae. The record is from RNAcentral.
AGAGUUUGAUCCUGGCUCAGAGCGAACGCUGGCGGCAGGCCUAACACAUGCAAGUCGAACGGACCCUUCGGGGUUAGUGGCGGACGGGUGAGUAACACGUGGGAACGUGCCUUUAGGUUCGGAAUAGCUCCUGGAAACGGGUGGUAAUGCCGAAUGUGCCCUUCGGGGGAAAGAUUUAUCGCCUUUAGAGCGGCCCGCGUCUGAUUAGCUAGUUGGUGAGGUAAUGGCUCACCAAGGCGACGAUCAGUAGCUGGUCUGAGAGGAUGACCAGCCACAUUGGGACUGAGACACGGCCCAAACUCCUACGGGAGGCAGCAGUGGGGAAUCUUGCGCAAUGGGCGAAAGCCUGACGCAGCCAUGCCGCGUGAAUGAUAAAGGUCUUAGGAUUGUAAAAUUCUUUCACCGGGGACGAUAAUGACGGUACCCGAGAAGAAAGGCCCCCGGU